This 454-nucleotide ribosomal RNA is filed under the name Aspergillus ustus. RNAcentral describes it as "eukaryotic LSU rRNA". The stretch from base 70 to 223 matches the Rfam family "5.8S ribosomal RNA". Lineage: Eukaryota; Fungi; Ascomycota; Eurotiomycetes; Eurotiales; Aspergillaceae. The record is from RNAcentral.
GUAGCCGCCGGAGACCACACCGAACCUCCUGUCUUUAGUGUUGUCUGAGCUUGAUAGCAAACCUAUUAAAACUUUCAACAAUGGAUCUCUUGGUUCCGGCAUCGAUGAAGAACGCAGCGAACUGCGAUAAGUAAUGUGAAUUGCAGAAUUCAGUGAAUCAUCGAGUCUUUGAACGCACAUUGCGCCCCCUGGCAUUCCGGGGGGCAUGCCUGUCCGAGCGUCAUUGCUGCCCUUCAAGCCCGGCUUGUGUGUUGGGUCGUCGUCCCCCCCGGGGGACGGGCCCGAAAGGCAGCGGCGGCACCGCGUCCGGUCCUCGAGCGUAUGGGGCUUUGUCACCCGCUCGAUUAGGGCCGGCCGGGCGCCAGCCGGCGUCUCCAACCUUCUAUUUUACCAGGUUGACCUCGGAUCAGGUAGGGAUACCCGCUGAACUUAAGCAUAUCAAUAAGGCAUCAGU